Molecule: RNA transcript, 5586 nt
Organism: Lycium barbarum (goji berry)
Lineage: Eukaryota; Viridiplantae; Streptophyta; Magnoliopsida; Solanales; Solanaceae
Exons: 3
Source: RefSeq, a predicted model, not a curated record
CCAACCCCCCUCUCUCUCAAAAAUAAAACAUUAUGCAUCGAUGAAAACACACGCACAGUUCCGAAGAAUAAAAUAACUCCAACAUGGUCCACCAGCAACUGCUAUCAAAAGUAAGUUCUAGGAGAAGCAAAACUGUUACAGUACGUUUAUGGGAGAAGAAAAAAUUGUUCGUCACCUCUGUCGGCAUCAAUUGUUCAUCUUAGAGAUCCUUCUCAAGAUAUAUGGAUGUUGGUGCUGCUUUGGUGGUGUUGGUGUUCAAGAAUCUUAUCGAUUUCAAUUAUCCUAAUUUAGGGUAUUUUUAAUUUGUGCUUUAGAAGAAAGAAUUUCUGGUAUGGUCGAUUUCAAUGUGCAGUUUCCAUAUCCACUGCUUUCGAUUUGUGUUAUUCUCUUUUUUUCUCCUUCUUCGUGGACUAACUUCUGUGUUCCUUUAUGUUGAGUUUAAAAUUUAAGUCUUUCUCUAAUUAGUUUUUCAAAAAUUUAGAACCCUAGAGGAAUAAAGCACAAAAACAGUGAUUCUGAUGGUGGAAGCUUAACUGUGAUUUGCUUUUUGUUGGGUGCUAUCAUAUAAAGGUAUAUCUAUUGAUUUUUAGGUAUUUGCUUGAUGACGGAGUUUUAGCUUUUCACUGAAUUAUUAUAUUUUCAGUUUAUAGCUUGUUGGAACAAAUCACGUGAUGGUUUGUUAUGCUUUAUUUAAUUUUGCACAAUCUCUUUUAGAGAAUUGUUGUUCAGUUCUUAUGGAAAAGGUGACAUCUUUUAGGUUCUUUCUUCCACCUAAUGUGAUUAUUUCUUUAUCUUUGUUUUGUUUAUGUGCAAGUUUAAGUUAAAUAGAUAGCUUUAUUCUAUGUAAUAUUGGGGUUAAAUAUAAAAUGUGCAUUUUGCUUUUGCUCUAUGAGCUAUUUACAUACCCAACAAGAAAAGCAAUCAAGAAAAUUAUUUGUAGCAUAGGAAUGAGACAUUUUAAGAUUUUUGGACUUUUGGACUUGCUUUGUCUACCAUUGAAGUGAAUGACUUAAUUUUUCGGUGUGACCCUGCAUUGUUGGUACAUAUUCAGUGGAGUGCUAAGAGUCCGUAUUCUUUAAUAAAAUGGUGCACUUUUAGGAACGAGUUGAGCUUCCGUCACAUUUUUUAAGGAGGCAACCUCAAGUGAGUUCUAUCAGCAAUAAAAGAAUGCACAGUUUAUUGAUCAUUUUGUCUGAAAAACAUCUCUAAAACCAAAUUUACUGUUAAAUUUCUCCUUGCUGCUAUUCAGAAAAAUAGUUUAUUGCGUCGUUCCAAAAUAUAAGCAUCUAGAUUCUCAAAAAUAGAGUUGUCUUUUAUUAAUUCCCCUUUUUGCUCUUUUAUCUGGCGCGAAAGAAAUAAAUCUUUCUACUUUAUAGUUUUGGCCUCAGAGAUUCGUAAGAGUAAUCAUGAUAGCUAGGAAGAAUUGAAGAGUAGAUAAAAUCAUGAUAUAUAACUAUAAAAUUAAUGACCCACUGCGUCCUCCAUUAUGACCUUAUAGACUACAUUUAGUCUUACUGCAUUACUGAACAAGAAUCUAUUUUUUGUCAUUAGUCGGAACAUGGAAAUGAUAUUUUGGCAUGUUCGCUGUAUUCUUAAGCUAUGUUUCUUCAAUUUCUUACUAAAAACGACUGCAGUAAUCGUACUUAGAUGAUACUCUGGCAUUGGCUUAUUUUUGGUUUCGUUGUUUCCUCUCAUACAUGGACUAGAAGCAAGUUUCUAGAAGUAAUCCAAACAACUAGAGAUUACAUUUAGUUUUUGUUCCUUCGGCUUAAAGCUAUGCUACGCACUUAUUUACCAUUUUAUACUUAAUAUGUAUUGUUCUUCUCUCUGUUUUAAAUGUAUUCUAUUUCUUCUUCUCUCUGUUUCAGUUUUUUGUCUUCAAUGAAGCGAGCGCUUUGCUUCUUGCGUCGCACUUUAAGCGAAGCGAGUCCUUGUCUCUGUUUUCUGAUUCGCGCUUUCAAAAGAACUGAUCAUAUAAAGGUAAAAGGCUAGCAUGUUGUACGAAAGGUUCAACCUCGUGAUUAUUUUGACGUGCAAAAAAAGGAUGAUGAGUUUGAGGAAUUAACUAAUAAGAAUAUGAUGCUUUAUUCUGAAUGUGUAUCUAUGAAUCUGAUUGUGCUUCUGACUAUUUGUACAGAUGGAAUUUACUUAGUGUUAGAUUGUUUCUCUGUAUAGCGUGUUUGUGUUCCUGUAUAUUCUCUGUAAUAGUUAUUGUAUAGUUCUUGAACUUGCUAAACUUCACCAAGUCUCUUUAAUAGUCAUUGUAUGGUUCUUGGGUUAGCUUAAACAUAUUCAACUUCUUUUUGUAUUAGGUUGACAUGAAUCCAUCAAAAUUUUAUAAGCCUGAAACCAUCAACUUCAAAGACUGUUAAGCAUGUAUACAUACCAGCUGGUGCCUUAGCAAGGGGACGAGGACAAAGCAUAAGAACUUUGGGCUCCACUAGAUUAAGAGCUUGUUUGAAUUAGCAUAUUUUCGGUGCUUUUAAGCCAAGAUAGCUUUUAAGCACUUUUGUAGUGUUUGGGUAAAAUAAAAAAGUGCUUUUAAGCACUUGUUUUUAAGCUAAAAUGACAAAAUUUAGCCAAAAGUCAUAAGCUAGAAUUCCUAACUUAUGGAUUUUGGCUUAUAAGUCAAAAGUCAUAAGCCCAUCAAACGGGCUCUAAGUGUUGAUAGAUAACUCCAAUUGGCAAAAGUAAAAUAAUAAAGCAGUAGCUUUUUGUCGAAUGAGCUAGUACAGAAUAAUAGCCUUGUGCCCCCUGGUUUUGAUCCAAUGGAAUAUGAUGUUCCCCUCGCUCAAGAAGCUGAAGUGAUGCAAGACACUCAAGAGAAGUGAAAUAAGUCCAUGUGAAUAUGAAAAGGCAAAAAAAGAGUGAGGAAAGAAGAGGUGUAAAGAUGUUUCAAGCCUCAAAGCUGGAGAGAAGUUGAGUUAUUUUUUAUCAGAAUCGACUUGUUGGGAAGCAUCACCGCUCAUAUACGAGAUAAUUAGGUGUUAGUUCAUGAUUGUAAUAUGUGCCCAUUGCAGGUACACUCUUGGGCGGAUAUCGAGGAAGAGUAGUUGGAAUAUACGUGGGAAGCUGCAACUAUAAGUUAAGCAUUACUUUCUUGAUUUAUUUUUCAAGCUUGAUGCAUGUCAACUAACUUGUAUGUGUUCUUUUGCGUGCCAUAAUAUUUACGCUCGAUGUAUUUAUGAACACUCCAUUAUUUUGAACUUUUUGGUUUUAACUUUUUGGUUUUGCUGUUGGUUGUAAACAGUCCCUGCAAGACACAAAUCUCAGUUUCAUAAAAUCUACCACAACUCUAUUAGUCACACAUAGAACUAGAAUAGUUAUCAAGUCCUUGCUAUGAGUUUCAAGAAUCAAGAUCCUCUUCGUUUCCUUGAAAUAAUACCAUAGAUUUUGCAGGAUUAAUUUUUGGUGUCCACUUAACCUAUUUAAAUAAGUCUCUCCCAAAAGAAACCAUAUGGUUCAUUUCUUUAUAGUGUUGCCCUCCUAUUUCAAUAUUAUCUGCCAAACAAAAGUGACAAAAUGAUGUUGUGAUGUUUUUAAUUUUGAAUUGUACUGUGCAAAAUGAAAAUAAGCAAGUAAUCAAAACUAACGGCUGAGUGACUGUCAUUGUUAUUUAGAGAACUCACUUUAUCGCUUAAAUAGCAUGGAGGCUAGGGGAAGCGAGUGGGGCCGCCCCAGAAGGCUGAGGGUGACAAAGGGUAGCAUGAAGCGACCGCUUCUGUUCAAGAGGCAGAAGCGACUGAAACAUGAACUUCAUUUAUUUUCACAAAAAAAAAAAUCGACUUUAAAGAGAAAAAGAUGCAACUUUUUUAUCUAGUUCACUGCUCUUUGCCUUGGUCUGGGGUUUGCAAGUCACGACUGAUUUAUCUUCUUUGAUGCUCUCUGCCUCCUCUGUUAUCACUGCUUUUUUCUCUUCUUCUUUUCUCUGAUCUGAUAUCACUGCUACUGCUGCAGCUUUAAUUUUUUUUCGUUUCUCCUUUUGUGUUAUCUAUUGCUGCUACUGCAGAUACUUUUUUCUUUCUAUUCUUCUCUUAUAUUGUUGUGUUCAUCUGCUUCUUCGGACUUCAGCUAUUGUUUUAUUUAUUUUUUGUGUUUCUUUUUUGUCUUUAUUAAUUUAAUUGAUUUAUCUAAUGUGUUUUUUGUUUUUCUAUUUGCUCUCCCUUUUUCUAUUUGCUCUCUAUUUUUCCAGUAGGCAAUAUCUCUGUUGUAGACUUUCAUUUAGUUUCUCUUUGCUUCAUUCAUUUGCAACUGAACAAUAUAAUGCAUGCACUCAAACGCUCCUGCUGCAACAAACAUGGUCGUUAGCGAAUUUUGAUCGUGAUAACUUGUUCAUCUCAAUGUUGAUGUAUGAAAAAUCACUCAUUGAUCUUAGAGCCUUACUUAGAGGUCCUUCUGUAGUUCAACCCAGAAAUUGAGGGUAAAAAACUAGUUAUGCCUUUUUUUUUUUUUUUGGUGUUCCAUAUUUAAGGGAGAGAUGAUUGACUGACUUCUCCUCUUUACAAGAAUGAGGUAGUUUUUUGUAUAUGUUUUAAAAGUUCGAACCUAAGCAGUCACUGCAUAUUAAAAGUUCGAAUCUAAGCAGUCACUGCGUUUCUGCAGUAGAACUUAGAAAACUCAAGUGCACAAGUUUGAGCAUAGUUACUUUUCAUUUUUUCCAAGGAGUCAUGUUUAGAUUGCUGUACAUUAGAACUAGAUUUAAGGAGUUUAACAGAGACAUUUGAGGUAUAAGAGUCGUAUUUUUGGUGCUCCAAUUGAAUUGUUUGCCUAACUAAUAACAAUCUACUUGGCUCAAUAAUAUUCUGUGUGCUAUUCACAUUAUAGAGUUCCUACAACAAUCUGUUUCUUAUUCCUUUGCCAUCUGUAACACAUUCGAGAAUUUUAUGAAAGACGCCGUUUUUUUUUUUUUUUUGCUCAGAUGAAUAUUUAAGGACAACUGAAGAAAAGCAGUUUGAUAAGUUAAUUACAAAAAAAAUGUCAAAACAUAUUGGGCACUAUAAUUACAAAAGCUUCCCAAGAUCUCUCCUAUCCUUUAAAGCGAUAAUGUUGUUCAUUUGAUUCACUAGAGUUUUUUAUUCUCUGUGUUUAUUUUUUGGUUAUUGACAUUCAACAAUACAAGAAAAAAGUGGACACAUUUCUCUUUCUUUAUGUUGGGAAAUCAUCUAAGUUUGCUGGACUAUCUGGUAUAUAUAAGUUAGUGUUCAUUUGCUUUAUUAGAUACUUAAUGUUUCACAUCUCUGUGUGAUGACUGAGCACAAAUUGAGGUCUCCUCUUUCUUCAUUUUGAUGGUUUAUUUGUUGUUGCUAAACUGAUAUAAAUUUCUUCUUUUAUCAGAUUAAGAAUUCGAAGUCGAUCCUAUCCUUGAAGAAAGUGCAGAGCAAAAUUGAAGUACAAAAAGUUUUUAUUUUGUUAGUGGUGGUUUAAAGAUGAUGUCUUAUGCACACAUGCUACUUUUUUCUAUUUUAGGAGUAAUAAAAAAUGAUGUCAUGCAAUUUGGAUGUGUAUAUUUUUUGGUAAUGUGAUACUUUAGUUCUUUGUAUUGACGAAUAACAUUGAUGUUUUAAUGAAUAUUGAUUAUUUGGUUUA